RNAcentral lists this ribosomal RNA (253 nucleotides) under uncultured bacterium. RNAcentral describes it as "partial 16S ribosomal RNA". It matches the Rfam family "Bacterial small subunit ribosomal RNA", at positions 524 to 776 of the family's 1533-position model. The record is from RNAcentral.
UACAGAGGGGGCAAGCGUUGUUCGGAAUUACUGGGCGUAAAGGGCGCGUAGGCGGCCUGCUAAGUCGAACGUGAAAUCCCCGGGCUCAACCUGGGAACUGCAUUCAAAACUGACGAGCUAGAGUAUGGUAGAGGGUGGUGGAAUUUCCUGUGUAGCGGUGAAAUGCGUAGAUAUAGGAAGGAACACCAGUGGCGAAGGCGACCACCUGGACUGAUACUGACACUGAGGUGCGAAAGCGUGGGGAGCAAACAGG